UGAAUACGAGACGCUAAGGCGUUGAAGUAGUGUAUGUCAUACUUCCAAGAAAAGCUUGCACUGUCAUAGAUAAAAAACGCCUGUACCAUAACCGACACAGGUGGGUAGGUAGAGUAUACUAAGGGGCGCGAGAUAACUCUCUCUAAGGAACUCGGCAAAAUAACUCCGUAACUUCGGGAGAAGGAGUGCCUUAUUUAUAAGGCUGCAAUAACAAGAUCCAAGCAACUGUUUAUCAAAAACACAGGUCUCCGCUAAGUCGUAAGACGAUGUAUGGGGGCUGACGCCUGCCCAGUGCCAGAAGGUUAAAGAAGUUGGUUAGCAAUAGCGAAGCUGAUAACUGAAGCCCUGGUGAACGGCGGCCGUAACUAUAACGGUCCUAAGGUAGCGAAAUUCCUUGUCGGGUAAGUUCCGACCCGCACGAAAGGCGUAAUGAUUUGGAUACUGUCUCGGAGAGGGGCUCGGUGAAAUAGACUUGUCUGUGAAGAUGCGGACUACCUGCACCAGGACAGAAAGACCCUAUGAAGCUUUACUGUAACUUAAAAUUGAAAUUGGACUUUAUUCGCGCAGUAUAGGUGGGAGGCGUUGAUUGUAAUCUUGCGGGAUUAUUGGAGCCAUCAGUGAGAUACCACCCUUGUAAUGUUAGAUUUCUAACUUUGAAUCAUUAUCUGGUCAAAGAACAGUUUCAGGCGGGCAGUUUGACUGGGGCGGUCGCCUCCUAAACGGUAACGGAGGCGUACAAAGGUUUCCUCUGAACGGUUAGAAAUCGUAUCUAGAGUGUAAAGGCAUAAGGAAGCUUGACUGUGAGACCUACAAGUCGAGCAGGGACGAAAGUCGGUCUUAGUGAUCUGACGGUACUGAGUGGAAAGGCCGUCACUCAACGGAUAAAAGUUACUCUAGGAUAACAGGCUGAUCUCCCCCAAGAGUUCACAUCGACGGGGAGGUUUGGCACCUCGAUGUCGGCUCAUCGCAUCCUGGGGCGGUAGUACGUCCCAAGGGUUGGGCUGUUCGCCCAUGAAAGCGGUACGCGAGCUGGGUUCAGAACGUCGUGAGACAGUUCGGUCCAUAUCCGGUGUAGGCGUUAGAAUAUUGAGAGGAGCCUUCUUUAGUACGAGAGGACCGAGAAGGACAUACCUCUGGUGUACCAGUUAUCGUGCCAACGGUAAACGCUGGGUAGCUAUGUAUGGAGUGGAUAACCGCUGAAAGCAUCUAAGUGGGAAGCCCACCUCAAGAUAAG
Molecule: ribosomal RNA, 1234 nt
Filed under: metagenome
Description: bacterial LSU rRNA
Rfam family: Bacterial large subunit ribosomal RNA
Source: RNAcentral